AGUGACGAUAGCCUAGGAGAUACACCUGUUCCCAUGCCGAACACAGAAGUUAAGCCCUAGCACGCCUGAUGUAGUUGGGGGGUUGCCCCCUGUUAGAUAUGGUAGUCGCUUAGCA
This 115-nucleotide ribosomal RNA is filed under the name Streptococcus infantarius subsp. infantarius. Lineage: Bacteria; Bacillati; Bacillota; Bacilli; Lactobacillales; Streptococcaceae. The record is from RNAcentral. RNAcentral also lists the same sequence under 1 other name.